CGGCGGACGGGUGAGUAACACGUGGAUAACCUACCUAUAAGACUGGGAUAACUUCGGGAAACCGGAGCUAAUACCGGAUAAUAUAUUGAACCGCAUGGUUAAAUAGUGAAAGACGGUUUUGCUGUCACUUAUAGAUGGAUCCGCGCCGCAUUAGCUAGUUGGUAAGGUAACGGCUUACCAAGGCAACGAUGCGUAGCCGACCUGAGAGGGUGAUCGGCCACACUGGAACUGAGACACGGUCCAGACUCCUACGGGAGGCAGCAGCC
Molecule: ribosomal RNA, 266 nt
Filed under: uncultured Staphylococcus sp.
Lineage: Bacteria; Bacillati; Bacillota; Bacilli; Caryophanales; Staphylococcaceae
Description: partial 16S ribosomal RNA
Rfam family: Bacterial small subunit ribosomal RNA
Source: RNAcentral